GACGAACGCUGGCGGCGUGCUUAACACAUGCAAGUCGAGCGGUAAGGCCCUUUCGGGGGUACACGAGCGGCGAACGGGUGAGUAACACGUGGGUGACCUGCCCUCAGCUCUGGGAUAAGCCUGGGAAACCGGGUCUAAUACUGGAUAUGACUCCAUGACGCAUGUUGUGGGGUGGAAAGCCUUGUGCGGCUGAGGAUGGGCCCGCGGCCUAUCAGCUUGUUGGUGGGGUGANGGCCUACCAAGGCGACGACGGGUAGCCGGCCUGAGAGGGCGACCGGCCACACUGGGACUGAGACACGGCCCAGACUCCUACGGGAGGCAGCAGUGGGGAAUCUUGCGCAAUGGGCGAAAGCCUGACGCAGCGACGCCGCGUGAGGGAUGACGGCCUCGG
RNAcentral lists this ribosomal RNA (391 nucleotides) under uncultured bacterium. RNAcentral's name for it is "bacterial SSU rRNA". It matches the Rfam family "Bacterial small subunit ribosomal RNA", at positions 28 to 420 of the family's 1533-position model. The record is from RNAcentral.